CAGCGGCGGACGGGUGAGUAACGCGUGAGCAACCUUUCCUUCACAGGGGAAUAACGCAGCGAAAGCUGUGCUAAUACCGCAUGAGACCACAAGAUCGCAUGGUCAAGGGGUCAAAGGAGCAAUCCGGUGAAGGGUGGGCUCGCGUCUGAUUAGCUAGUUGGCGGGGUAACGGCCCACCAAGGUAACGAUCAGUAGCCGACCUGAGAGGGUGAUCGGCCACACUGGGACUGAGACACGGCCCAGACUCCUACGGGAGGCAGCAGUGGGGAAUAUUGGGCAAUGGGCGAAAGCCUGACCCAGCAACGCCGCGUGAGGGAAGAAGGUUUUCGGAUCGUAAACCUCUGUCCUUGGUGAAGAGUAAGAGACGGUAGCCAAGGAGGAAGCCCCGGCUAACUACGUGCCAGCAGCCGCGGUAAUACGUAGGGGGCGAGCGUUGUCCGGAAUGAUUGGGCGUAAAGGGCGCGUAGGCGGCCUGUUAAGUCUGGAGUGAAAUUCCUGCUUUCAAGGUAGGAAAUGCUUUGGAAACUGGCGGGCUGGAGUGCAGGAGAGGUUAGCGGAAUUCCCGGUGUAGCGGUGAAAUGCGUAGAGAUCGGGAGGAACACCAGUGGCGAAGGCGGCUAACUGGACUGUAACUGACGCUGAGGCGCGAAAGUGUGGGGAGCAAACAGGAUUAGAUACCCUGGUAGUCCACACUGUAAACGAUGAAUGCUAGGUGUAGGGGGUAUCGACCCCUUCUGUGCCGGAGUAAACACAAUAA
Molecule: ribosomal RNA, 757 nt
Filed under: uncultured bacterium
Lineage: Bacteria
Description: bacterial SSU rRNA
Rfam family: Bacterial small subunit ribosomal RNA
Source: RNAcentral